This 253-nucleotide ribosomal RNA is filed under the name uncultured bacterium. RNAcentral's name for it is "partial 16S ribosomal RNA". It matches the Rfam family "Bacterial small subunit ribosomal RNA", at positions 524 to 776 of the family's 1533-position model. The record is from RNAcentral.
UACGGGGGGGGUAAGCGUUGUUCGGAAUUACUGGGCGUAAAGCGUGCGUAGACGGUAGCGUAAGUCGGGUGUGAAAGCCCCGGGCUCAACCUGGGAAUGGCAUUCGAGACUGCUCUGCUAGGGUGCGGAAGAGGGGAGCGGAAUUUCCGGUGUAGCGGUGAAAUGCGUAGAUAUCGGAAGGAACACCAGUGGCGAAAGCGGCUCCCUGGUCCAGCACCGACGUUCAGGCACGAAAGCGUGGGGAGCGAACAGG